GGAGAUGGAUGCGUCACUGGUGGGCGCCCCGGACUUCAAACCCGCGCGUGCGGCACUAACACUGUCGUAGAUAGGUUCGAUUCCUAUACUUCUCCGCCA
RNAcentral lists this transfer RNA (99 nucleotides) under SAR324 cluster bacterium. RNAcentral describes it as "tRNA-Sec". It matches the Rfam family "Selenocysteine transfer RNA". The record is from RNAcentral. Lineage: Bacteria; Deltaproteobacteria.